This 499-nucleotide ribosomal RNA is filed under the name uncultured Alphaproteobacteria bacterium. RNAcentral describes it as "bacterial SSU rRNA". It matches the Rfam family "Bacterial small subunit ribosomal RNA", at positions 1007 to 1505 of the family's 1533-position model. The record is from RNAcentral. Lineage: Bacteria; Pseudomonadati; Pseudomonadota; Alphaproteobacteria.
CGGCUUCUUCAGUUCGGCUGGCUGGAACACAGGUGCUGCAUGGCUGUCGUCAGCUCGUGUCGUGAGAUGUUGGGUUAAGUCCCGCAACGAGCGCAACCCUCAUCUUCAGUUGCCAUCAGGUUAAGCUGGGCACUCUGAAGGAACUGCCGGUGACAAGCCGGAGGAAGGCGGGGAUGACGUCAAGUCCUCAUGGCCUUUAUGGGCUGGGCUACACACGUGCUACAAUGGCGGUGACAGAGGGACGCGAAGGGGCAACCCUUGGCCAAUCUCAAAAAGCCGUCUCAGUUCGGAUUGUCCUCUGCAACUCGAGGGCAUGAAGCUGGAAUCGCUAGUAAUCGCGGAUCAGCACGCCGCGGUGAAUACGUUCCCGGGCCUUGUACACACCGCCCGUCACACCAUGGGAGUUGGUUUUACCCGAAGGCGCUGCGCCAACCGCAAGGAGGCAGGCGACCACGGUAAGGUCAGCGACUGGGGUGAAGUCGUAACAAGGUAACCGUAA